UACGGAGGGAGCUAGCGUUGUUCGGAAUUACUGGGCGUAAAGCGCACGUAGGCGGCUUUGUAAGUUAGAGGUGAAAGCCCGGGGCUCAACUCCGGAACUGCCUUUAAAACUGCAUCGCUUGAAUCCGGGAGAGGUGAGUGGAAUUCCGAGUGUAGAGGUGAAAUUCGUAGAUACUCGGAAGAACACCAGUGGCGAAGGCGGCUCACUGGACCGGUAUUGACGCUGAGGUGCGAAAGCGUGGGGAGCAAACAGG
This 253-nucleotide ribosomal RNA is filed under the name uncultured bacterium. RNAcentral describes it as "partial 16S ribosomal RNA". It matches the Rfam family "Bacterial small subunit ribosomal RNA", at positions 524 to 776 of the family's 1533-position model. The record is from RNAcentral.